Molecule: ribosomal RNA, 517 nt
Filed under: uncultured bacterium
Lineage: Bacteria
Description: bacterial SSU rRNA
Rfam family: Bacterial small subunit ribosomal RNA
Source: RNAcentral
CUACGUGCCAGCAGCCGCGGUAAUACGUAGGUCCCGAGCGUUGUCCGGAUUUAUUGGGCGUAAAGCGAGCGCAGGCGGUUAGAUAAGUCUGAAGUUAAAGGCUGUGGCUUAACCAUAGUACGCUUUGGAAACUGUUUAACUUGAGUGCAAGAGGGGAGAGUGGAAUUCCAUGUGUAGCGGUGAAAUGCGUAGAUAUAUGGAGGAACACCGGUGGCGAAAGCGGCUCUCUGGCUUGUAACUGACGCUGAGGCUCGAAAGCGUGGGGAGCAAACAGGAUUAGAUACCCUGGUAGUCCACGCCGUAAACGAUGAGUGCUAGGUGUUAGACCCUUUCCGGGGUUUAGUGCCGUAGCUAACGCAUUAAGCACUCCGCCUGGGGAGUACGACCGCAAGGUUGAAACUCAAAGGAAUUGACGGGGGCCCGCACAAGCGGUGGAACAUGUGGUUUAAUUCGAAGCAACGCGAAGAACCUUACCAGGUCUUGACAUCCCUCUGACCGCUCUAGAGAUAGAGUUUUC